Molecule: ribosomal RNA, 506 nt
Filed under: Micrura ignea
Lineage: Eukaryota; Metazoa; Nemertea; Pilidiophora; Heteronemertea; Lineidae
Description: partial 16S ribosomal RNA
Rfam family: Bacterial large subunit ribosomal RNA
Source: RNAcentral
AGUUUAUUGUUGAUUAUAAUAAAUGGUUCCUGCCCAGUGAUUAAUUUAAACGGCCGCGGUACUCUGACCGUGCAAAGGUAGCAUAAUCACUUGCCUCUUAAUUGGGGGCUGGUAUGAAUGGAAGUUCGGGAGUUAAGCUGUCUCUAGGCUAAAUGUGGAAUUUGCUGUUUCUGUGAAGAAGCAGGGGUAAUGCAAAAGGACAAGAAGACCCUAUUAAGCUUUACUUUUUGAUGUAGUUCUAAUCAUUGGUGUUGUAAGGGAUUGCAGUAAGAAAAGUUUGGUUGGGGUGACCAAAGAAGACGAAAUCUUCUUUUUUUUAUAAACAGAUUGGUUUAUAGUUGAUCCGAAAAAUUUCGAGCGAAAGAAAAAGCUACUAUAGGGAUAACAGCGUUAUUUUUUCUUAGAGUUCUAAUCGAAGAAAAAGAUUGCGACCUCGAUGUUGACUUGUCAUAUCCUGUAUUGUGGUGCAGAUGUUGCAAGGGUUGGUCUGUUCGACCAUUAAAAAU